AUACGGGAGGCAGCAGUUGGGAAUCUUGCGCAAUGGGGGCAACCCUGACGCAGCGACGCCGCGUGCGGGAUGACGGUCUUCGGAUUGUAAACCGCUUUUCCCAGGGACGAUAAUGACGGUACCUGGGGAAUCAGCCUCGGCUAACUCCGUGCCAGCAGCCGCGGUAAGACGGAGGAGGCAAGCGUUGUCCGGAAUUACUGGGCGUAAAGCGCUCGUAGGCGGUCGCGUACGGCGGUGGUGAAAGCUCCCGGCUCAACUGGGAGAGGCCCGCCGCAACGGCGUGACUCGAGGAUGGUAGGGGCAGAUGGAAUUCCUGGUGUAGCGGUGAAAUGCGUAGAGAUCAGGAGGAACACCCAUAGCGAAGGCAGUCUGCUGGGCCAUGCCUGACGCUGAGGAGCGAAAGCCAGGGGAGUGAACGGGAUUAGAUACCCCGGU
RNAcentral lists this ribosomal RNA (435 nucleotides) under uncultured bacterium. RNAcentral describes it as "bacterial SSU rRNA". It matches the Rfam family "Bacterial small subunit ribosomal RNA", at positions 339 to 791 of the family's 1533-position model. The record is from RNAcentral.